Molecule: ribosomal RNA, 218 nt
Filed under: uncultured bacterium
Lineage: Bacteria
Description: partial 16S ribosomal RNA
Rfam family: Bacterial small subunit ribosomal RNA
Source: RNAcentral
CGUCUCAGUUCGGAUUGCAGGCUGCAACUCGCCUGUAUGAAGUCGGAAUUGCUAGUAAUCGUGGAUCAGCAUGCCACGGUGAAUACGUUCCCGGACCUUGUACACACCGCCCGUCACACCAUGAGAGCCGGGAACACCCGAAGUCCGUAGUCUAACCUAUAUGGAGGACGCGGCCGAAGGUGGGUUUGGUAAUUGGGGUGAAGUCGUAACAAGGUAGC